CGGUGGAUUGGGCUCCCAGUGCAGCUGAGAGGAGCUGUGUCUUCUGAGGCACCGGAGGGCUUCCAUCUGGAACUCCCGGGUCAGCGUCUCUGCCGACAGGAGCUCAGUUCCCUUACGACUUCCUGGGGUUUUGGCCUCGGGACAACACGGGGCUGCGUCCACGCUGGGUCGUUUGUUGACGACCCAGGCGACCCGGGGAGGAAAAGGUCAUCCGCAACACGGAAAACAGCGGCUUCUAAUAUGAUUUUCCCACAGUGCCUCUAAAUUCCAUGUGGACUUUGGGUGAACUGGAUCUGGGUGGAUCCAUGGCUUGGCUUCUGUAGACUUCUUAGUCAGCACCGACCUGGAUGGGACAGAAGAAGGUUGAUCUCCAGGCCUGGAGUCCGAGCCCACCACUGCCUUGUCUUCUUCAUGGCCAAGUUCUCACCCCUCCCAGCAGGCCUCUUGGGGGCCAAGGGGAUGGGGUGUCCAUGGCAGGAGCAGGAGUCCAUGACUGGAUGGAGUGCCCACACCAGGACUGGAGGGUCUGUCGGGAGCUCCCACCGAUCUUGUGGGUCCACACGUCAGAGUUGUAGGCCCAUUCAUGGUGCACCAGGCUGUCGAUGGGACCAGUCCAGCCUGCGCAGGUGCCUGACCACCAAGUGGUCAGUGCAGAAUAUGCACAGGGAGCCCUGGCAAAGCUCCCAAACUCCCGGGAGGACACUCAGCAUGGUCCCUGGAAUCACUGGGAGGUCAGCCUACAGGGUCCCCCAUCCAAUCUCACUAAGUUACAGUAAAGAAACAGAAGACGCCUCCGUGCAGGAAGACAGAAUGUCAACAGACUGAGCACUGUCCUGAGGAAGGCAGGCUGGUGUCUGGGAACUGGGUGCUAUAGUGGGGUGAAUAGGGGGCUCCCAAACGCUAUGUCUGCGACAUGACCCCAGAAUCUGUGAAUGUAACCUUAUUUGGAAGUAGGUCUUGCAGGUAUGAUUGGCUACAGAUCUGGAAAUGAGGUCCUCCUGGAUUGGGGUGGCCCUAAAUCAAAGAGGGCAUCCUUCUAACAGAUGCAGAUACAGAGGAGACACCAGGUGAAGAUGGAGCCAGAGAUGGGAGGGAGGGGGUCACAAGCCCAGGGAUGCCUGGAGCCCCCAAAACUGGAAGAGGCAGGAAGGACCCUCCAGUGGAGCCUCUGGAGGGAGCGCAGUGCUGGGACAUCCUGACCUCAGUCGUCUGGUCUCCAGGACUGAGAGAGGACAGGCUUCUUUUGUUCCAAGCCUGUGUGUGUGCUCAUCUGUCACCGCUGCCCCAGGAAACUCAUGCAGCUGGUGGGAAGUGCGCUGCCCUGAUCUAAAGCCUCCUUCCCAUUAGGGGCAGCCCCCUGCACCUAUGCUGUUUGCACUAACCAUGAAGUUCACACUGAGCCCCAGCUCCGCUUCUGGGCACUGGCAUUUGGAGGGUGAGGGCAGACACCACCACUUGACCAGCCCCCAGCUGGGUGCCAAGUCUCUAGUGAGCUUCCCUGGGGGGGGAUGGGGGUGGGGGGUGACUGUCAGGGUUCUGCCCUUCAUCACUGGGGGAAGAGAUACCCUAGACACCCUCGAGGGAGGAGGGGCAUGCAGGGUCGUGAGAGUCUGGCUCGAGGCCCCUCCCACCCCUGCAUCCCCACUGCACCCCCACUGAGGCCUGUCUUAGCUGUAAGCACACCGGUCUAGAGCCUCCCGGCAAUUCCUGAGGUGAGGUGGCCCAGCAGACCCACCCCCUUCCUCCAUGUCUAGCAGGUGGGACAUCCCUUCUUGCCACUCGAGAAGUAGCUCUGGAGCCGAUCUGCGAGUGGUUCUGCGGUUUGCAGGCUGAGCCCCUGUUGCUGUGCUCCCCACAUGAGCCCCCAGAGCAAACUGUCUGCCCUGCUGCCUGAAUGCCCCCCUCCCUCCACUCAGUAUUGUCAGGAAAGGAUCAGGUGGUUCUGUAGCAGCGUCUGAACCCUCCUAUAAUAGGGGUGUCCUUGUUCACAACCCUCUAACUCCCACCGUUAGCAGGAGGUAACAAAGGUCUUUAAGGUAAAGGGUCCAGAGAGAAGAGAGGAAGCUACAAACAAAACCAGCUGGGACCAAGAUGGCAACGAAUCUUGACUCCCAGCAGACCCCGAGUCUCAUUGUAUGUUGAUUUUACUAUAUUAUUGAUGUAGGAGAUAGAUGGGCUCCAGAUUAGACAUUUAUAACUGGCCUCCUGUUUGCAUGUCACGGGACACAAAGAAGUGGGCUUCAGGGUGGAUACUUACAACUGUUAGCUUUUCUGAGAGCAGAGAGAGGUGGGCUUCAGUCUAGGUAUUUACAAUCAGCCUCCUGUUUGCCCUCCAAAAUAGAAGUAACAACAGAGAGUAAAUAGCCAGUGUUUGUCUCUGGUAAACACCUUACGGUAAUAGUCAUGGCAAGGACAGAGGGGACAAAACCCUGUAUGUGUAAAGGAUUCAGGGAUCUCUGCCCCUCACUCUUUUGGGACAAGGGAGACACUACACAUGCACAGAAAGGCUUCUUGGGGCUCAAAACUCAAAAGAUAAUGCCAGGCCAUAAUGAGUCUUGCUCCUCCCAGAAAUCUUCACUUCAAGAUCCAUCUUGGCUGAGGGGUGAGUGUGCACCCAGGGGUAGGUCCCAGGGUAGGUCAGAUGUGGGAAAAGAAACCAGGUAAUUGGCCUGAAGGAAGACAAAGACCCGGAAGAAGCUCCUCCUCACUGAAGGGUUCGCUCACACCCUUUCUCUGCUGUGCUUCAAUCUUAACAAACCAUUUCUCUAUGUGCUGUACCCCUUGUUGUUUUUCUGUCUCUAAUAAUUUUAUACCUGCAUUUACAGUUUCUGUCUCUGUGAUAAAUAUAUUUUUCACUGGGGGCAAAGAUCCAGGGAAAAGUAGCUUCUAGCCUUUAGCCCUUGUUGGUCUGGUGGCUAGGAUUCCUGGUUCUCAUCCAGGAUUUCCAGGUUCAAUUCCUGGGCAGGGAAUUUAAGAUCUCACUUCAUAUCACUGCUCACUGCUAACUGAAUCAUUAUAUUCACCAGAAGUGACACACCUCCUGGUGGCCAUGACCCAACAUGAAAAAAAGUGAAAGUGAAGUUGCUUAGUCAUGUCCGACUCUGCAACCCCAUGGACUAUAGCCUGCACCAGGCUUCUCUGUCCAUGGGAUUUUCCAAGUAAGAGUACCAGAGUGGGUUGCCAUUUUCUUCCCCAGGGGAUCUUCCCGAACCAGGGAUCAAAUCCAGGUCUCCCGCCUUGCAGGCAGACACUUUACCCUCUGAGUCACUGGGGAAGCUUCAUAACCCAACAUGAAGAACCAAAAAAAGGUAAAAAGGAGAUGGUACCACUAACUUGGAAAAAUCCUGCCCUUCCCUCAGACGUACCUGCCUCCUCAGCAUUAGUCUCACUCCUCUUCCCUUUGUCUUUACUGUUUAAAAUCAAACCACGUUCUCCAGGAGGGCAAGAAGAUGAGCUGUGAACUUAGUUCCUGCUUCUGUGUUCUCUGACCACCGAAUAAAGCCUGUGCUCUGUUGGUCUCAGCUUUGGUUUCAUAAUCACCUACUUGAACCUGAAUGGAUAAAAGGAAGCCCUGUCUGUUGAGACAGAGACCCCCUAGCCAGGGUAGGGCCUGAGCAGGGUCCAUUGGACUUGGUGACGACCUGUGAGGGGACAGGGGUAUCUUCCUGGGGUGAGUGGAGGGCACCUCCAGCUGCAGCACCGGCUCCAUUUACAGUGUGGCCCCUCCUGGGCCUGGACUGUGAGCUCUCAUCCCCACACCCCUGACAC
Long non-coding RNA from Cervus elaphus (red deer), 3768 nucleotides. RefSeq lists it as uncharacterized. The transcript is spliced from 3 exons. The record is from RefSeq and is a predicted model, not a curated record. Lineage: Eukaryota; Metazoa; Chordata; Mammalia; Artiodactyla; Cervidae.